This 210-nucleotide ribosomal RNA is filed under the name uncultured bacterium. RNAcentral describes it as "partial 16S ribosomal RNA". It matches the Rfam family "Bacterial small subunit ribosomal RNA", at positions 121 to 334 of the family's 1533-position model. The record is from RNAcentral.
GGAAGCGUCCGAUGGAGGGGGGUAACUACUGGAAACGGUAGCUAAUACCGCAUAACGUCGCAAGACCAAAGAGGGGGACCUUCGGGCCUCUUGCCAUCGGAUGUGCCCAGAUGGGAUUAGCUAGUAGGUGGGGUAACGGCUCACCUAGGCGACGAUCCCUAGCUGGUCUGAGAGGAUGACCAGCCACACUGGAACUGAGACACGGUCCAG